UCUUUACAUAACACUUCUACAACGAAUCGAAAGUUGUGAAGUAAUCUGUACUAUUAAAAAAUUCACAUAACAACUCUCUUUCAAAUUCUUUAAAUUUGGCUCUGGCUCUACCCAUGAAUAGGGUUUAAGAAACAUACUAUGAACAUUCUUUUCAUUUUCGAAAAGGUUUGGCAGAAAUCCAUCCGCAAACCGUUCUAGCUUACGGGUACGGAGGGUGAUCAGCACCCUGUAUUGAUCAAUACUACAUAACUCUGAACGAAAUUCAUCGUUUUAUUCUGUCCGCCUCGGGCGCAAAAAUUUUCCCAUAUAGGGAUAUUCAUACAUGCCUGGUUCCAAACCCGAAGGUUUUUAAUCUUGCUCAACAAUAAUAUGUAAUUCAACAUAUAUGUAUACGGGUAAUUGAAAAAGUCUAUCAACAUGUGAAUAAAUGCCAUGAUUAUUCAAAUGGGGACACUUGUAUAACCAUUUAGAAAUCAAUGAACAGAAUAUAUAUCUGAGCUAACAUGUUGAUAAUCAAAGCGUACAUAAUCUCUACAGGAAUAGAAUAAUUCUGAAACUUCUUACUCAUGUCCAUU
Molecule: long non-coding RNA, 575 nt
Filed under: Panax ginseng (ginseng)
Lineage: Eukaryota; Viridiplantae; Streptophyta; Magnoliopsida; Apiales; Araliaceae
Description: long non-coding RNA (PGIN_LNC003386)
Source: RNAcentral